GACGAACCGUGCGAACGUUGUUCGGAAUCACUGGGCUUAAAGGGCGCGUAGGCGGGUCUCCAAGUCGGGGGUGAAAUCGUUCGGCCCAACCGGACAAGGGCUUCCGAUACUGGAGAUCUCGAGGGAGGUAGGGGUCGGGGGAACUUCCGGUGGAGCGGUGAAAUGCGUUGAUAUCGGAAGGAACGCCGGUGGCGAAAGCGCACGACUGGACCUCUCCUGACGCUGAGGCGCGAAAGCCAGGGGAGCAAACGGG
This 253-nucleotide ribosomal RNA is filed under the name uncultured bacterium. RNAcentral describes it as "partial 16S ribosomal RNA". It matches the Rfam family "Bacterial small subunit ribosomal RNA", at positions 524 to 776 of the family's 1533-position model. The record is from RNAcentral.